Mauremys mutica (yellowpond turtle) is the source of this 373-nucleotide long non-coding RNA. RefSeq lists it as uncharacterized. Lineage: Eukaryota; Metazoa; Chordata; Testudines; Geoemydidae. The transcript has 3 exons. The record is from RefSeq and is a predicted model, not a curated record.
CAGCUGAAGAAACCCAAGUGAAAGUGUUUGCACCUUGCUUUUAUACCCAUGCUUCCAGACAGACCCUCUUCAUGUCUAGAGAAGCCUUGCACAGAUUUACUUGUCCAAGUAGCCCAGAGCAAGUAAAUUUUAGUUUAGAAGGGGAAGUCAAAUGAUCAUCAUCAUAAAGAGCAGUUCGAGGAUCACCACCGGACAUCAAUGUUAAGAGGCAUACAGAAAAGAACACGAGUGUAUCUCCUGAGGCUCAACUUGCAGACACACAUUGGUAAUUUCACUCACAUGAGAACAGGCCCACUGAAAUCGAACACUCUACUCAUGCAAAUUAAAGAGCCAUCAGAAAUCUCUCCCCAUCCAGGUAUUGAUAGAUCAUGCU